AGGGUGUAAACGCUGCGGGCUUGGUGUUGGGGUCCGUUAGUUGGGCGGCCCACGUGCCGGAGAGAAGUUGUUAAGCCUGCUGCUUGGGAGGUAUGUCCGCAAGGAUGAAACUUAAAGGAAUUGGCGGGGGAGGCACCGCAACGGGAGGAGCGUGCGGUUCAAUUGGAUUCAACGCCGGAAACUACAUCGGGAGGCGACAGCAGUAUGAUUGCCAGGUUGAUGACCUUGCUUGACAAGCUGAGAGGAGGUGCAUGGCGUAGUCGUGU
This 266-nucleotide ribosomal RNA is filed under the name uncultured archaeon. RNAcentral's name for it is "partial 16S ribosomal RNA". It matches the Rfam family "Archaeal small subunit ribosomal RNA", at positions 748 to 1009 of the family's 1478-position model. The record is from RNAcentral.